Phascolarctos cinereus (koala) is the source of this 3101-nucleotide long non-coding RNA. The record is from Ensembl. NCBI's taxonomy places the organism in Eukaryota, Metazoa, Chordata, Mammalia, Diprotodontia, Phascolarctidae.
GUGGCUACAAAUGUGCUCUGCUCUAGCAGGCACAGGGGAUGAGGGAAAACAAGAGGCACAGCAUAAAAGAAUCCACAAAAGUGGUUUCUAGGGAUGUGUGCCCACCAAGUAGACCACUGCUUCUUAGAAAGAUAAGACAACAAAAGGGUCCCUGGUUGGGAAAAGCACAUGGCACAUUUUCUACCUCUUCUCCCAUGUGCAUCCCACGGAGCUCACUUGCAUUCCUCCCAUGGCAGACAAGGUUCUGCUUAUGUCAGUCUGUGACUCCUACAAGUCUUCUCACACUCCUCCCAUUCUUCCUGUCAUUUUUCAAAGAAUACUAAGGGCUGCCAGGGGGCGCCAUAAUGCACAGAGUACCUGGCCUCCAGUCAGAGAGAAUCAUAUUAGCCCAGUUCAAAACUGGCCUCAAACACUAUGGAAAAUGACUCAACAACAACAAUAAAGAAGAGUAACAUUCACUUCCAUUGCGGUACCACAAUAUGGCAAGACAUUUGUAACAAGACAUUUUACAUAGCUCUGAAAUACUAGGGCAACUUCAAACCAGCUCAACAGUUCUUUUCCAAAAGACUGAUGGGAGCAAGGACAUGAAUGAGACACCCACCAGGUGGCUGUGCUCAGUGCCACGGGAGGGAGACCUGACAUCCCCGAGAGCAUGAAUCCACAGAAAGCCCUACGACAAGCUGAUGGCUCAGACAGGGUGAGCACUGGGACCCCCCACUGGACUCUCACGACCAUAUGUCCAAUGCGAGGUUCUGGAGUUAGGGCACCAUCGAAUGAAGACAGGGCGCCUAUAACUCUACAACAGGGCAAACGCUGAAAAUGAACUUGUCCAAAUGGGAAUCUUCAAGACCAACAAUAUAAUCGAAUGACAAUCAAGCAACAAAAGUCCACACAAAAGGCCAACAUCCUUCAUGCAAUCAAACCACAUGGACUGACUGAGCACCGACUGUGUGUCAGGGGCCAAAGCAGUGGCUGUCCUCAAGAUGCUCCCAGUGCAGCCUGGGGAGAGACCGACAGACCACAAGGAUGCACACGGGACCCGGGACGGCGGCACUGCGGGGGAAGAGGAGUGGGAUACCAUUACAAACACCCCGAAACGGCAGCCCACACACCAGGGAGGACCAGGCGUGGGAUCCCCACCUCCCAGGGGACUCCUUUGGGCCACAGCUCUGGAGGGGGAGGCAGUGGGGGGCACGCCCACGUGGGAUCGCAACACCCCUCCCCCAGCCAUGAAGUUUCAGGUGCCCCUCACCCCCCCGAAACUCUUCUAAAGGAAGUCCUCCCCCACCAGCUAGCUCUCCUCUCCUCCCUCUGCGGCCCCACCCCCUUCGCCCCCCCCACUACCCCUCUGCCUCCAGCCCCACUCCGCCACCACCUCCGACGCCGCCGCGCUCCAGCCUCCAACCACGCGAUGACCUCGACUCGGACCCGGAGCCGGAGCUGGGCUUGGUCUCUUGUGCCCAUGGAGGAGGAGCCGCGCUGGGACUCAGGCAGCAGCACAGGAGGGGUGGGAGGAGGAGGAAGCCCCGCCCCCGUACCCCGCGGGGGAGGCCACUCCAGGUGGGCUCUGUGAGCUCCGCGCAGGGCUUGCCGCGUGCGGCCUGCUGGGAGUUGUAGUCGGCGGCCUUCCGUCCUGGCCUCAGUACAGAGGGGAAGUGGGAGAGAUGGGGGAAGGGAGGGAGGGACGCAGCCCCCUCCACUGUCCCUUGCUGGCUUCCCCAAGGGCCCGCCCUCGGUCAGCCCCACCACGAGCGCCAUAGACUAAGGAUGCCCAACAUGCGCCCCGGCUGCAGACAGAAAACUGAGGCACGAGCAGGCAGAGGGCCUGGACGGCAGUCCAUGGGCCAGAGGCAGGAGUCUCCCUUGCCGUUGGAUGGUUGGGGAAACUGAGGUCCGCCCCUCCCCAGUGGGGCCCUGCACAGAUUGAGGUCCUGCUGUGUACCAGCAACAGAGCUGCCAUUCUCAGCAGACCGUACCCACGGGAGAGGUGGCAGAAAAGACGGGGGGAGAUGGCCUUCCAGUGGGAGGCAUGGUUAGGCAUGGCUUGGAGAUGGGAGCACACCCAAGUAGGGAACAUGGAAGGGUGGGGUGGUGCCAAGCCAUUGCACCCCAACAUUAGCUGCAGGAAGUCAUAGAGCCAGAGCACUUCUUCCCCUUCUGUACCCUACCCAAGGCCACUGUGACCUCAGCUGUGACUGGGCUGGCAUUCAUUCCCCGACUUGGUGCCUCAGUUUCCUCAUUGGCAAAAUGGUGCACUAAGUUCAGUUCCACCUGCAACAAAUCUCUAGGCUUCAUGGCCUCUGACUCCCGGGGUGCCCUGCCUAACUGUAACCCUAACUCUAACCCUAACUGUAACCCUAACCUUAUUGUGCUCUAACGCUAAACCUAACCUUAACCCUAAUACUAACCCUAACCCUAAUAGCUCUUCAGCCCUGACCCUAACCUUAACCGUAAUUGCUUUCUGAUCCUAACCCUAACCCUAACACUAACCCGAAUCCUAAUUCCAUUCUAACCCUAAUCGUAACCCUAACCUUAUUGCGCUCUAACCCUAAACCUAACACUAACCCUAACGCUAACCAUAACACUGACACUAAGCCAAACUGUAAUUUCACUCUACCCCUAAACAUAAACCUAAACCUAACCCUAAUGCUAACCCUAAUUGCUCUGUAAUCCCAACCCUAAGCCUAAUCCUAACAUUAACCUUAAUCCUAAUUGGGCUCUAUUCCUAUACCUAACACAAACCCCAUUGCUAACCCUAAUGCUAACUCUAAUUGCACUCUACCCCUAAACAGAAACCUAAACCUAUCACUAACCCUAAAUACACUCUAAUCCUAACCCUAACCCUAAUCCUAAUUGAGCUCUAAUCUUAUACCUAAUGCUAAAAGUAACAGUUAUCCUAACCCUUACCUUAACACUAAAAAUAACCCUAAACCUAACCCUAAACCUAACACUGACCUUAACCCUAAUCUGAACCCUAAACCUAAUUCCACUUUAAUCCUAACUCUCACCAUAACACUAAUUACGCUCUAACCUGAAACUUAACACUAACCCUAAACCUAACAGACAAUAAAUCUAACCCUAAUUGGGCUUUAUUCCUAUAC